ACAUGCAAGUCGAGCGGCAGCGGGAAAGUAGCUUGCUACUUUUGCCGGCGAGCGGCGGACGGGUGAGUAAUGCCUGGGAAAUUGCCCAGUCGAGGGGGAUAACAGUUGGAAACGACUGCUAAUACCGCAUACGCCCUACGGGGGAAAGCAGGGGACCUUCGGGCCUUGCGCGAUUGGAUAUGCCCAGGUGGGAUUAGCUAGUUGGUGAGGUAAUGGCUCACCAAGGCGACGAUCCCUAGCUGGUCUGAGAGGAUGAUCAGCCACACUGGAACUGAGACACGGUCCAGACUCCUACGGGAGGCAGCAGUGGGGAAUAUUGCACAAUGGGGGAAACCCUGAUGCAGCCAUGCCGCGUGUGUGAAGAAGGCCUUCGGGUUGUAAAGCACUUUCAGCGAGGAGGAAAGGUCAGUAGCUAAUAUCUGCUGACUGUGACGUUACUCGCAGAAGAAGCACCGGCUAACUCCGUGCCAGCAGCCGCGGUAAUACGGAGGGUGCAAGCGUUAAUCGGAAUUACUGGGCGUAAAGCGCACGCAGGCGGUUGGAUAAGUUAGAUGUGAAAGCCCCGGGCUCAACCUGGGAAUUGCAUUUAAAACUGUCCAGCUAGAGUCUUGUAGAGGGGGUAGAAUUCCAGGUGUUAGCGGUUGAAAUUGCGUAGAAGAUCUUGGAGGAAAUACCGUGGGCGAAAGGCGGCCCCUGGGACAAAAACUGGACCCUCAAGGUGCCAAAAGCGUGGGGGACCAACAGGAAUAAAAUACCCUGGUAAUCCCCCCCCGUAACAAUUCCAAUUUGAAGCUGUGUCCUUGAAACCGGCUUUCCGAGCUUAACCUUUAAACCACCCCCUGGGGAAUACGCCCCAGGUUAAAAUCAAUGAAUUUCCGGGGCCCCCCAAACGGGGGACUUGGGUUUUUUUUUGAACCGAAAACUUCCGGCUUAAAUUUUGGAACUCGAAAAAUGGGGGCCUUGGAAAAAAAAAGGUCUGGUUUUCCCCCGUUUGGAAUGGGUAUUCCAAAAAGAACCCUCUUUUUCCCCAUUGGGGAAAAGGGAUCCGGUACCCGAGGGGGGGUUAUUUUGGCUUUCCGGGCCCCUUUAUGGUCAGGGGGUCUUUUAACCAACCCACCGGGGGGCCCCCCCACGUUAAAAUGGUUUCCUCCCCCCCCGUCGAAAACAAUCCGGGGGUUGGGGUGAAAANNNUNNUNNGANCCUUAACUCCUCCUAAAGUUUAGAGCCCUUUGACCUCCUCUCCUCC
Molecule: ribosomal RNA, 1246 nt
Filed under: Aeromonas hydrophila
Lineage: Bacteria; Pseudomonadati; Pseudomonadota; Gammaproteobacteria; Aeromonadales; Aeromonadaceae
Description: partial 16S ribosomal RNA
Rfam family: Bacterial small subunit ribosomal RNA (bases 1-1025)
Source: RNAcentral